CUUGGCAGGGAAAGAGUUUCUGGAGAGAUUAGAAGAAAGGGGAGGGGACAGCAAAGGGGGUGGGAGAGAGAGGUGGUGAUAUGUCACUGCUUGAUUUUUUAAUAUUAUUACUAAUUGCAUUCCCUCUCUUCUUCCAACCCCCGGAGGAGGGGCUAAAGUAUAAAAUCGGGGUUGCAAUCUCUCCCCAAGGGGCUGGGUUCAUGUCGGGGCAAAGCCUUCCGCGCCUCGCCGGGAGGAUGCCGCCUGGCGCCGGGAAGCAGCCGGAGAGAGGUUGAGACGAGAGCCCAGAGCCAAGAGCCCAGAGCCGGCGAGGGAGCCCUUCCGACGCCGCCAGCCACAGCAGGGAGAGAGGCAGGCAGGCAGGCAGGCUUCCCCGUCUCUCGCCACGCUUCCCCAGCUGGCCAUGGAUGGGCGGGAUGGCAAGGAAGCGAGGGAGGCUCUCCUCCGCCAGCCGCCGGUUUCUCGGUAACUGGAGAAAGAAGGGCGCCUCAUCUGCCUCCAAAUGAUUCAAUUCAGCAGCCAACUUUUCUCACUUCUUCCUUCCCCCUUUAGCAUCAGGUAGGGAAAUUAGGGAAACCUUCAUGACAAGAGGGAAGGACUUGUCCUCGGCUUCUCAGUCUGGUUUUAGAACUGGGGCUCUUGUGAAACUGCCGCGUCCAUGCUCACCAUCAUGUAACCUGUGAAUGGCAAAUUGUUGUCAUUUUCGGGUGGACUCACGUGGAUGUUGUCAAGGAGAGUGGUCUGCAAAGAGAAGAAGGGCACUGGUACUCACAUUUUUUUUUCACAUCUCCCAGCGUGAGUAGAGACUGAGUCACCCUUUCCCCAUUUUCUUUUUUUCUUUCUCUUUUUUUGCCACUAUGAUCAUUUGCAAUAUCAGUGCAAUUAAAGAUUGGAGCACGUUCCUCUCCCAGAUCCUCCCCAGUGUCAACAAGACCCUCCGUUUGGUGCAGCAGGUCGAAGCCACCACCAGCUCUGUGGUGAGCGUUCUUCCAAACCCUGAGCGAGACGGCUACUUGGACAACAGCCAGCCCAUGAAUUCCAGCAACUUCACCACGGGCCUGGACCACCUUUUCCAGUACUCCUAUUCGGACACUGACCAGCUGUACAAGGAGUACAAACCCCCUCCGCGAGAUGCCAUCCCCUUGCCCAAGGCGGUGCUCUACCUUCUUAUGGCAGCCCUGGUCGUGGUGGCAGUGGCUUAUGCCAUUGUUGGCCACCUCAUCAAGGACCUGUUCCAUGACUUGAUAGAGGACACCCUCCAUGGACAAGAAGAUAUGACAUGUAUGAGCCCCAAUCCAUGCAGGAUGCAUCCAUGGCAACACCUCAAAUGGCCUUGGAAGAAUGACAUUCUGCUCCCUUGGUGAUGUGAGCAACAUCUCACUACUGCUUUAGUCACUUUGAAGCCUCACUCUAGUGCACAGAUGACAUUGUCCAAAGGUAGACUGAGCACAGAUUCAAAGCAACUGGUAGCAUUUAUUGUACCUUCUGUUCAGUUUGAAAUUAUGGUACUAGAGCUGGGCAAAAUGAAAGAAGCUUCUGAAUGUCUACUUUACAAGUAUCCCUAGAUGUUUCUGAACAUUUACCUGAACAUAUAUUUUGGAAAAUAAUGUGGACUUCAUCCCACCUCCUCCC
Long non-coding RNA from Anolis carolinensis (green anole), 1632 nucleotides. The record is from Ensembl. Lineage: Eukaryota; Metazoa; Chordata; Lepidosauria; Squamata; Anolidae.